GUGGGGAAUAUUGGGCAAUGGAGGAAACUCUUACCCAGCAAUGCCGCGUGAGUGAUGAAGGUCUUAUGGAUUGUAAAGCUCUUUGAUUGGGGACGAAUAAAUGACGGUACCCAAAGAACAAGCCCCGGCUAACUAUGUGCCAGCAGCCGCGGUAAUACAUAGGGGGCGAGCGUUGUCCGGAAUGACUGGGCGUAAAGGGUGUGUAGGCGGUUUAUCAAGUUAGAAGUGUAAUACCUAGGGCUUAACUCAGGUGCUGCUUCUAAAACUGAUAGACUUGAGUGUGGGAGAGGAUGAUGGAAUUCCUAGUGUAGCGGUGGAAUGCAUAGAUAUUAGGAGGAACACCAGAGGCGAAGGCGAUCGUCUGGACCAUAACUGACGCUGAGGCACGAAAGCGUGGGGAGCAAACAGGAUUAGAAACCCGAGUAGUCC
RNAcentral lists this ribosomal RNA (429 nucleotides) under uncultured bacterium. RNAcentral's name for it is "partial 16S ribosomal RNA". It matches the Rfam family "Bacterial small subunit ribosomal RNA", at positions 354 to 796 of the family's 1533-position model. The record is from RNAcentral.